RNAcentral lists this non-coding RNA (45 nucleotides) under Schistosoma curassoni. The record is from RNAcentral. Lineage: Eukaryota; Metazoa; Platyhelminthes; Trematoda; Strigeidida; Schistosomatidae.
AUCCAACUGAUGAGUUUUAGAUAGGAUGAAACACGUGUUCUGGAU